GAUGAACGCUGGCGGCGUGCCUAAUACAUGCAAGUCGAGCGAACAGACGAGGAGCUUGCUCCUCUGACGUUAGCGGCGGACGGGUGAGUAACACGUGGAUAACCUACCUAUAAGACUGGAAUAACUUCGGGAAACCGGAGCUAAUACCGGAUAAUAUAUUGAACCGCAUGGUUCAAUAGUGAAAGACGGUUUUGCUGUCACUUAUAGAUGGAUCCGCGCCGCAUUAGCUAGUUGGUAAGGUAACGGCUUACCAAGGCAACGAUGCGUAGCCGACCUGAGAGGAUGAUCGGCCACACUAGUACUGAGACACGGUCCAGACUCCUACGGGAGGCAGCAGUAGGGAAUCUUCCGCAAUGGGCGAAAGCCUGACGGAGCAACGCCGCGUGAGUGAUGAAGGUCUUCGGAUCGUAAAACUCUGUUAUUAGGGAAGAACAAAUGUGUAAGUAACUAUGCACGUCUUGACGGUACCUAAUCAGAAAGCCACGGCUAACUACGUG
This 497-nucleotide ribosomal RNA is filed under the name uncultured bacterium. RNAcentral describes it as "partial 16S ribosomal RNA". It matches the Rfam family "Bacterial small subunit ribosomal RNA", at positions 28 to 507 of the family's 1533-position model. The record is from RNAcentral.